This is a non-coding RNA of Schizosaccharomyces pombe (fission yeast), 1239 nucleotides long. NCBI's taxonomy places the organism in Eukaryota, Fungi, Ascomycota, Schizosaccharomycetes, Schizosaccharomycetales, Schizosaccharomycetaceae. The record is from the annotation of a GenBank genome assembly.
GCUGUAGCGCAAUAUCGCUUAAUCUCGUUAAGAAGGCAGAAGUGAAGGAUUUACCUAUGCUUGGGUAUUAGAAGAGAAUGAAAAAAAUUUGAGAUUUGCCUUCCAUCCGGUACACUGGAGGGUUGAGAAGUGCAGUACGGUUCAGUUAAGCGAUAUAGAAAUGAGUGUACUCCAAAUCGUUAUUCGAAAUCAAUUUUGUUUAAGGUAGAUUGGAUAUUGGAAUGCACAUGGCAUGGACUCAAGAAAAUCCGAUGGAGGGCAGUGAAACAGGCAAAAGGUUAAUUAAAGGAGAUAUAGAUAUAGCUUGAGUAGUAAGAGCAUGCAAUUUGGAGAAGAAGAAAUGAGAGAGAAAACGUAUGUCAAACAGCAAAAAGGCAGUAGAUGAAUGAAUGGAUGGAUGAAUUACCAUACAAUGUUUUUACUCUGACGUUCCUUUCCGUUUAGCAUGCAACCUUGCGGAGAUGGAAAAAGACGAGUAGAUGAAGAAGAAUAAGAGGCGAUGAGAUUUGGUUUGAUGACUUGGGAGUGUGACGAAAAGUGCGAAUGCCGAUUAAUGGCUGGAAAUUGACAAGUCAGGUGGAGGCAGAAUAAUGAUGAUGAUGGAUGAGGUGGUUGGGUAUUGAAAACAAGGUAAGCAAGCGUAAGCCAGCGGCAAUGGGGUAAAGUUGGAGAAAAAUGCAAAGAAUGAUGUUGGAAAUUGGAGUCGGGCGGGAAGAAUGGGAUGAGGUGGAUGGAUGAUGGAUGAGAUGGAAUAGGAUGAGAGGAGAUGGGAUUACGUUGGGGGGUCAAACCUUUUUUUUUUUUUUUAAUUUUUAUUGUACUUUUUUUUUUUUUUGUGCAAACGUAAAUGGAAAAUGAGCGACGGUGUUUAUGACAUUGAACGCAUGUAUACUACGUCUUUUGUUUACAUGGCAAGGGAAGAAGGAAAAGGAAAAGGAAACUAACACCAACAAAGGCAGAUGGAUGGCAUAGCGGCAGAAUGAUUAUUUCGUGGCCUUGAUGCUGGAGCUAGCGGAUGAAAGUGGAUUUCCGAGCGGUCAGAAAUUUUUCCCAUUCCAAAUAACACAGGAUACGGUGGAGUGUGGAAAAAAGAUAGAGAGCGAGAGUAAGUAGAGAGGGUGAAAAAUAGAGGAUAAGAAAGAGGGCAGCUAGAAAAGUGCUUUAAUAAUAAGGAUGAGAAGCAUAUAAUUAAUUGGCAAUUAAGUAGAUUGGAAAGAAAAUGUAGAGUGGAAUUUUGCG